GCUCCUUUAGCAGAGGGAAGAAUGUUUGUAGGGGCCCUUAAAUGGAAUUCCCAGAAUCCCCCAGGAGUGGGCAGUUAGGAAUACUCUACACUCUCUGGGAAGCUGACUCUUAGAGGGGAGGUAUUUGGAGAGUUUUCCUGAGAUCCCUCUGGAAAGAGGAAAGAGACUUGACUUGGAAAACUAAUAUCUUUGAAGGUGGGAAAAGAAUUGUUGGAGUGAAGAUCAGUUCUCCUGAAAGGGAGAAACUGCUGCCAAUAGGAGGAGCUGUUUUGCUCUCACUGAGUGAACCUGAGGUUUUACACCUGUGAAGAAGUUUUCUUCCCACCUACGGUCAUAAGAAGUCUCACUCAUAUGGCAUUGAGCAUCCCCCAAUUUGAUGAAUGUCUGAAGACUACAGAAGUCAUCAUACCCACCAGGCUGAAGAAAUGAUUUUCCAUAUAGAAGACAAAGGGGUGUAGCAUAUCUGGAAAAGUGCGGGAAGUCUCAGGAAUUUUCCAUACAGAAUCAGAAAGCAAGCAACCUUGAUGAGAUCCAUUCCUUGGUAUAUACUACUAGAUACAGAACCCUUUAUUUGAAAAACAGAAAGUACUUAUCUAUAUCUUGGCAACAGAAAAUUAUUGGAG
Molecule: long non-coding RNA, 623 nt
Filed under: Monodelphis domestica (gray short-tailed opossum)
Lineage: Eukaryota; Metazoa; Chordata; Mammalia; Didelphimorphia; Didelphidae
Description: lncRNA (ENSMODG00000048260.1)
Source: RNAcentral